GUUUUAUUAAUUGAAGGAACUCAGUAUUCAGAGAUUCCAGCAUAGUAAAUAUGGUGUGUUAUAUUGGUAAAUUUAUACAAAGAGCCUUUAAAGAUGUUCACUGCUCUAUUUCAAAAUUAUAAGCUUUUUAAAGACAGUUAUAAAUGGAUAGCAUAUAUAAAUAAUGGGAGCAAAUGUUAAUGAAAUUUAAAGGUCGGUGUCCUUGUUUUUGAGAUAUAAUCAGUUGAAAAUAUGGCGGG
This 239-nucleotide long non-coding RNA is filed under the name Mytilus galloprovincialis (Mediterranean mussel). Lineage: Eukaryota; Metazoa; Mollusca; Bivalvia; Mytilida; Mytilidae. The record is from RNAcentral.